Molecule: ribosomal RNA, 301 nt
Filed under: uncultured bacterium
Lineage: Bacteria
Description: partial 16S ribosomal RNA
Rfam family: Bacterial small subunit ribosomal RNA
Source: RNAcentral
CAGUAGCCGCGGGAAUACGUAGGGUGCGAGCGUUAAUCGGAAUUACUGAGCGUAAAGCGUGCGCAGGCGGUUCGUUAAGACAGAUGUGAAAUCCCCGGGCUUAACCUGGGAACUGCAUUUGUGACUGGCGAGCUAGAGUAUGGCAGAGGGGGGUAGAAUUCCACGUGUAGCAGUGAAAUGCGUAGAGAUGUGGAGGAAUACCGAUGGCGAAGGCAGCCCCCUGGGCCAAUACUGACGCUCAUGCACGAAAGCGUGGGGAGCAAACAGGAUUAGAUACCCCUGUAGUCCCUGUCUCUUAUAA